This 1374-nucleotide long non-coding RNA is filed under the name Coturnix japonica (Japanese quail). Its description in RNAcentral is "lncRNA (ENSCJPG00005009772.1)". The record is from RNAcentral. Lineage: Eukaryota; Metazoa; Chordata; Aves; Galliformes; Phasianidae.
AUGGGAACAUCCAUGGGGACCUUAUGCACCUCCAUAAGGACACCCCAAAGCAGCUCCUUGGGGAUGCCUAUGGAGACACCCCAGGCCCUGGGAUACCCACAGGGACCCCUGCCCAGUCCCCAGGGCACCUGCUUAGGGACUCCCAGCUCUGUCCAUGGUCCCCGUUGGGGACAGUGCUGUGUUCCCACCUCCUCGCUGGGCACAUGGGGCUGGUGCCGGCGCAGCCACGCAGCCUUGUACUGGUCCAGCCGCUGCCCCUUGUAUCGCACCGAGGCCCAUCCGCAGCCCGACUUCUUGGCGGGGUUCACCAGGCGCUUGCAGUGCGUGGCCCAGGCGCUGGGGGAGCCGAACACCUGCCCUGUCUCCUGCCAUGUUAUGGUCCCAUCCGCACCCAGGUCACCCACGAACUUCUUGCCCUGGGAGGAGCGGGGAGGGCUGAGAUGGGCUGUGUCCACAUCCCCAUCCCAUUCAUGUCCAUAUCCCCAUCCCCAUCCAUGUCCACCUCCCUGUCCCAUCUGUGUCCUGUCCCCAUCACCAUCGUCCCCAUUCAUCUCCCAACCUACAUCUUCAUCCAUAGCCCCACUGCCAUCUCCCCAUCCUCGUCAUAGAGCCCUGACCCCAUUCAUGACCCCAUCUCCAUGUCCCCAUCCAUGUCCCCAUCACCACACCCCCAUCCCCGUCCCCCUCCCUGUCCCAUCACCGUGUCCCCGCUACCCUCACCAGGUAGUAGAUGGACAGGACCCCCCGUCCCGGCUCCAGGAGCCCAUCCCGGAGCAGCACACGCAGAGUGAUGCCCCGCCGUGUCAGCACCGCCCCCCGACCCCCCCCCGCUGCCCUGGCCCCGCUCUCAGGCUCCGGCUCAGCCUCAUCCAGCCCCGGCUCCAGCUCAUCCUCCUCCUCCUCCGCGCACUCAUCCCCACUCGGGGACGUGGCCGCCAGCGCUGUGGGGGGGUGAGGACAGAGACGGUGUCACCCCCACCCCAAAUGGGGCUUCCCCACCCGUUGGGGGGCGGCGCCUUUGGGUGUCCCCAUGCGGGGGGAGACGCAGAGGGCGUCAAUGGGUGGAAAUGGGGACGGUGGGGUGUGAACAUAGAGGGGAUGGGAAGGGAGGGGGGGAUAUGGGGGGAUACAGGGGGAUAUAGGGAUACAGGGGGAUAUGGGGAUACCCCCCCACACACACCGUGUCCGUCCCCCCACCCCGCAUUGCCCCCCCCCGUUCCGUUCCCCCGUUACCUGCCAUGCUCCCACGCCGUGUCCCCCCCCCCGCGUCGUUCCCACGUGACGGGGCGGCCUCGAGAGCUCCCGCCCCCACCCGAGCGGGCGCGGGGGGGCUAUGGGGGGGCACCGCACACGGGACCGAGCCGGGAUGAAUGG